RNAcentral lists this ribosomal RNA (484 nucleotides) under uncultured bacterium. RNAcentral's name for it is "partial 16S ribosomal RNA". It matches the Rfam family "Bacterial small subunit ribosomal RNA", at positions 30 to 507 of the family's 1533-position model. The record is from RNAcentral.
AGUGAACGCUGGCGGCAGGCCUAACACAUGCAAGUCGAGCGGCAGCGCGGGGGCAACCCUGGCGGCGAGCGGCGGACGGGUGAGGAAUUCGUCGGAAUCUGCCUUUUUGUGGGGGAUAACGUAGGGAAACUUACGCUAAUACCGCAUACGUCCUACGGGAGAAAGUGGGGGACCGCAAGGCCUCACGCAGAAAGAUGAGCCGACGACCGAUUAGCUAGUUGGUGGGGUAAAGGCCCACCAAGGCGACGAUCGGUAGCUGGUCUGAGAGGAUGAUCAGCCACACUGGGACUGGGACACGGCCCAGCCUCCUAGGGGAGGCAGCAGUGGGGAAUAUUGGACAAUGGGCGCAAGCCUGAUCCAGCCAUGCCGCGUGUGUGAAGAAGGCCUUCGGGUUGUAAAGCACUUUUGUCCGGAAAGAAAUCCCUGGAGCUAAUACCUUCGGGGGAUGACGGUACCGGAAGAAUAAGCACCGGCUAACUUCGUG